Molecule: long non-coding RNA, 1069 nt
Filed under: Vitis vinifera (wine grape)
Lineage: Eukaryota; Viridiplantae; Streptophyta; Magnoliopsida; Vitales; Vitaceae
Description: long non-coding RNA (VVIN_LNC006696)
Source: RNAcentral
GGCCUGUAGCUUAGGGUCCACAGUGUACAUAUCGGGGUUGCUACCCCCAGAAGCACCCCAAACACACCAGAAACAGGGGAGUACCAAAAAGAGUAAACAGAGAACAAAACAGAGCAUAAAUAAACGAAUCAAAGAUCACUAAAUAGCCUUCAUGGGUGCCGAUGGGCUAGACACAGAUGAGAUCACCAGAAUAUGAUCCAUGGAAGUAAGGACAGUAACAAGAUGUCCAGGUGACACAGUAAAGCUGAAAUAAAGCUAUGAUUCUCUCAAACCAAUCUCACAAGAAAAGAAAUGAACCAGCAAAUAAUAAGCUCACAAGCAAUCCAAAAAUCAACAUAGACAAAUCCAUAUCUUCUAACAUCCAUACCCAACCAAAUAAUCCACAGAUAUAGCAAGAGAAGAGGGAAAACAUAUGACAAUGAAGAAGAACAGGGGGUUCAUGACAGUCAUACCUGAGAGUGCUCCCAUUCGACAAGAUCAACCUGGCUUCAAGUGACUGUAUCCCCUUCCAAAACAGGAGCUGCUAAUGGACAUGACACCCUCCUCCAGAUCUGAAAACCUCCAGAAGUCCAAGAUCUCUGGUUGCAGAAAAGAGGAAUGUGCAAUCAACAGAAUCCUAAUUCUCCUGCGGGAGUAGGAGGAUAAUCUAGCUAAAACCGAUGUAUGAUGGAAGUGAUCAGAUGGAUAGCCGAGAACUGAUCUUCUUCUCUGCUGCUUAAUGGAGACCUCUCCUAUCAGUAUGCGAUGCUGCGAUGAUUCUCCUGAAGCUCCCGGAAUUCUCCAGACCCCAAACGGUUGUGAUGUCAUGUUUUUUCUGUUUCCCCAAAAUGUCCAGCUCAGCUUCCCUCCACAAUUUUCCACCAAGAAUAUCUUCCAAGUGUCAAGCCCCCUAUCUGACGUGCCCUCAAGGAAAAAAGAAUAAUAAAAAAAAAAACCAAGUGCCCUCAGGAGAAAGAGAAUAAUAAUAUAUAUAUAUAUAACAAAACAAAACCAAGUAUUAAUAAUUAAACAUGCAAAAUAAAAUAUAAAUACAUUCACAUGCAAUUCCAAAAAAUUAGAAAGAAUUUUC